This 93-nucleotide transfer RNA is filed under the name Streptomyces olivaceus. RNAcentral describes it as "tRNA-Gly". Lineage: Bacteria; Bacillati; Actinomycetota; Actinomycetes; Kitasatosporales; Streptomycetaceae. The record is from RNAcentral.
CACCGACUUCGCCCACUGGGACGGCACCGCGUUCCCGAUGCGCUCGCUGGGUUCGUCCGGCGUGUGGGAGCUGUUCCUGCCGGGCGUCGGCGA